AAUAGAUACCCCAGGUAGUCCACGCCGUAAACGAUGAGUGCUAAGUGUUAGAGGGUUUCCGCCCUUUAGUGCUGCAGCUAACGCAUUAAGCACUCCGCCUGGGGAGUACGGCCGCAAGGCUGAAACUCAAAGGAAUUGACGGGGGCCCGCACAAGCGGUGGAGCAUGUGGUUUAAUUCGAAGCAACGCGAAGAACCUUACCAGGUCUUGACAUCCUCUGACAACCCUAGAGAUAGGGCUUUCCCCUUCGGGGGACAGAGUGACAGGUGGUGCAUGGUUGUCGUCAGCUCGUGUCGUGAGAUGUUGGGUUAAGUCCCGCAACGAGCGCAACCCUUGAUCUUAGUUGCCAGCAUUCAGUUGGGCACUCUAAGGUGACUGCCGGUGACAAACCGGAGGAAGGUGGGGAUGACGUCAAAUCAUCAUGCCCCUUAUGACCUGGGCUACACACGUGCUACAAUGGAUGGUACAAAGGGCUGCAAACCUGCGAAGGUAAGCGAAUCCAUAAAGCCAUUCUCAGUUCGGAUUGCG
Molecule: ribosomal RNA, 527 nt
Filed under: uncultured bacterium
Lineage: Bacteria
Description: bacterial SSU rRNA
Rfam family: Bacterial small subunit ribosomal RNA
Source: RNAcentral